GAUAACUUAGUUUAUAAAAACAAAUACUUUGAAAGUAUUAGUAAGAGACCGUCUUCUCUAGCUAUCA
This 67-nucleotide transfer RNA is filed under the name Tenuibranchiurus glypticus. RNAcentral describes it as "tRNA-Ser". Lineage: Eukaryota; Metazoa; Arthropoda; Malacostraca; Decapoda; Parastacidae. The record is from RNAcentral.